Molecule: ribosomal RNA, 516 nt
Filed under: Simulium tuyense
Lineage: Eukaryota; Metazoa; Arthropoda; Insecta; Diptera; Simuliidae
Description: partial 16S ribosomal RNA
Rfam family: Bacterial large subunit ribosomal RNA (bases 389-516)
Source: RNAcentral
GUCUUUUUGGUAUUUAAUAUAAAGUCUAACCUGCCCACUGAAAGUAAUUUAAAGGGCCGCAGUAUUUUGACUGUGCAAAGGUAGCAUAAUCAUUAGUCUUUUAAUUGAAGGCUGGUAUGAAUGGUUGGAUAAGAUACAAGCUGUGUCAUGAAAAUUAAUAAUUGAAUUUAACUUUUUAGUUAAAAGGCUAAAAUAAAAUUAAAAGACGAGAAGACCCUAUAGAGCUUUAUAUAAUAAUUAUUUAAGUUAUUUAGUUUUUUAAAAUUUAAUUUUUAUAUUGUAUUUUGUUGGGGUGACAAUAAAAUUUAUAAAACUUUUAUUUUUAAUUUACAUUAAUUUAUGGUUAAAUGAUCCAGUUUUAUUGAUUAUAAAUUUAAGUUACCUUAGGGAUAACAGCGUAAUUUUUUUUGAGAGUUCUUAUCGACAAAAAAGAUUGCGACCUCGAUGUUGGAUUAAGAGUAAUUUUGGGUGUAGAAGUUCAAAAUUUAAGUCUGUUCGACUUUUAAAUUCUUACAU